AAUUUGAUGGCCUAGUGGUUAGAGCAUCCACCUCGUAUGCGUGACGUCGUGGGUUCGAACCUCGGACGAGUCA
Non-coding RNA from Potamilus streckersoni, 73 nucleotides. The record is from the annotation of a GenBank genome assembly. Lineage: Eukaryota; Metazoa; Mollusca; Bivalvia; Unionida; Unionidae.